This 253-nucleotide ribosomal RNA is filed under the name uncultured bacterium. RNAcentral's name for it is "partial 16S ribosomal RNA". It matches the Rfam family "Bacterial small subunit ribosomal RNA", at positions 524 to 776 of the family's 1533-position model. The record is from RNAcentral.
UACAGAGGUCUCGAGCGUUAGGCGGAAUCACUGGGCUUAAAGCGUGUGUAGGCGGAUCGGUAAGUACCUUGUGAAAUCCCACAGCUUAACUGUGGAACUGCUUGGUAUACUGCCAGUCUUGAGCCACUUAGGGGCUACCGGAACAAAUGGUGGAGCGGUGAAAUGCGUAGAUAUCAAGAGGAACACCUGAGGUGAAGACGGGUUGCUGGGCUGAUACUGACGCUGAGGCGCGAAAGCGUGGGGAGCAAACAGG